CUGUGGGAGUCCAAGGACUGCAGCGUUGGGUCAGCUGACCCUGAGAGCUCUGGCGGGUCUUGGGUGAAAUGCAGGCCGAAGGCUCCGCGCGCAAAAGACUUGCCUCGAAAACCACCAGCCUAAACCAGGCUUCCCGUCAGAACUGCAGCAUUCAAGAAAAAAUGGAUUUGGAAAUUCGAAUACGAGAAGGAAUAUGGAAACUCCUUUCUUUGAGCACUCAAAAGAGCCAGAUUUUGCAGGCAGUUAAGAAUCUCAUGGUGUGCAAUGCUCGAAUAAUGGCUUACACAUUGGAGCUGCAGAAGUUAGAAGAGCAGAUUGCAAAUCAAGCUGGAAAAUGGUUUUCAUUUUCUUUUGACAGUGAGAAUUUUGAAAGUAAAGAACGGACAGCUUGUAGAGGAAAGAUUGCCAUAUCAGAUAUUCGUAUACCACUAAUGUGGAAAGACUCUGAUCACUUCAGCAAUAAAGAACGAUCACAGCACUAUGCCAUUUUUUGUUUAUUCAAACUGGGAGCUGAAGUUUUUGAUACUGAGAUGGUGAUUGUGGAUAAAACAAUCACAGAUAUAUGUUUUGAAAAUGUGACCAUAUUUAAUGAAGCAGGGCCAGACUUUCAGAUAAAGGUGGAAGUAUAUAGUUGCUGUACAGAAGAAUCUUCUAUAACUAAUACACCAAAAAAAUUAGCUAAGAAACUGAAAACAUCUAUAAGCAAAGCUGCAGGGAAGAAAAUCAGUUCAGUGCUUCAAGAAGAUCAUGAAAUCACGUGCUUGUCCUUCAGGUCUGCAAUUUAUGAUGCAAAGUACAAUUUGCUAGCUCAUACUACCCUGAGCUUGGAAAGCGCUGAGGAUAGCUUCAAGACUCAUAAUCUCUCUGUUAAUGGGAAUGAAGAAUCUUCAUUUUGGCUUCCCUUAUAUGGUAACAUGUGCUGCCGACUAGUCGCCCAACCAACCUGUAUGGCUGAGGAUGUAUUUGCGGGAUUUCUUAAUGAGCAGCAAAUGGUAGGAGGUCUAAUUCGUUGGAGAAGGUUGUACUGUGUUUUAAGAGGGGGUAAACUCUAUUGUUUUUACACUCCAGAAGAAAUUGAAGCUAAAGUGGAACCAGCUUUGAUAGUGUCUAUUAACAAGGAAACCAGAAUUCGGGCAGUGGAUAAGGAUAAAACGAAAAGAAUUCAUAAUUUCUCUGUCAUCAACCCUGUUGCUGGACAGGCUGAAACUCAUAUAUUUUCAGCUGACAAUAGAGAAGAUCUUCAGAAGUGGAUGGAAGCCUUCUGGCAGCAUUUCUUUGAUCUUAGCCAAUGGAAGCAUUGUUGUGAAGAACUUAUGAAAAUUGAGAUUAUGUCACCACGGAAACCACCUUUGUUCUUGACAAAAGAGGCAACCUCAGUCUAUCAUGAUAUGAGCAUUGAUUCACCUAUGAAACUUGAAAGUUUAACUGGUAUAAUACAAAAAAAAAUUGAAGAGACAAAUGGAGAGUUCCUAAUUGGCCAGCAUGAAGAAGCCUCAUCUCCUCCUUGGGCCACACUGAAAAAGGUAUUAUCUCCUGCAAGCAAGCAGUUACAUGAAGAGAAAGGGAAAAAGAGACGAGCUCCCCUUCCUCCUUCUGAUAAAGCUCCAUUCAACUUAAAAACACAAAGCAACAAAAAUCAAUUGAUUCAGGGCAACUGGGAAAAAACAGGUGUAUCUCAGACCUCGCCUUUGGAUACCAAACUGUCAACCCCGAUGCAUCACUUACAGAAACCGGUGGCUGCUCCUCGAAAACUUCUUCCUGCCAGGAAAAGUAGUUCAACUGAUGGUGAACACACAGACACUAAAACCAGUAUUGAAGCCAAGCCAGUACCAGCUCCAAGGCAGAAAACUAUCAAAGACAUUUUGGACCCUAGAUCAUGGUGGUGGACACAAGUAUAGAAAACCCUUAAUGUAUAAAACAUUUUAAAAAUCUAUAACUGUGAAGCUUAAUUCAGAAGCACUGUAGAUAUAGUAAUAUGAAUUAUGUAGGUAAAUAUGAUAGUGAUUUAUAUCAAUAAUUAAUAGGUAUAAAAAUAUUUUAUAAUUAAGAAAUGGAUUUCUCUUUUAUGAUUUUCAGAAUUGAAGUUAUUUCUCUAGUAGAGCAUAAGAGGUAGUUUCUAGACAAUAUCUCAAUUGUUGGAAGGGUUAAUUUAUUCCUAAAUUAGUACUAGGUGGUGAACAAGCACCAGGCAGAAGAAAGCAUUAAAAUUUCUUUGGGGAGAGAUUGUCUAGUAAUUUAAAAUGUGUUAAAUGAGAGCCAUAUUCUCAUUGUGAGAAUUUUAAUCCUAAUGGAAUGUUUCAAAAGUUUUAUUCAAACCACAAAUUAUAGAAUCCACCCAAGAAGAUUUCUUCUUAGCAUUCUGGAAUUCUCAUCUAAUAGUCCACUGGCUCUCAUCUAUUGUUUUACUCACUAGUUGACCUUUCAAAUUCCUGGGAUAAAUUUUGGAAUAUUAAAUUCUUCAUCUUUAAAGGGAAUAUGUAAUGUGUUAUUCAAAGUUGUUUCCUUGAUGAUCCCUGAAAUCCUAUUGACAUUACCUUUCAUAUGUAAAGCAAAACAUUUUUAAGUUUAGGUAACAGGUAGAUGAAAUGUUCUUUACUUCCACUUUUCUAUGCAUGGUAUUAAUUUCCAUUGUGACAUUGGCAUUUGGGGAAAUGAGUAGCUGUUAACACCUUAAAAUUCAUUUAAUAUUUAUUUAAAAAGCAGAUGACCUAUUAAAAAUACCAGAAAAUUUGGCCAUGAUCAUUUCAGAAUUAAUCCUUCUAAAAAUAUUAUUUAGAUUUCCUUUUUCUAGUAGGGGUUCGUGUCUGCUAUUGAUAUUUGUCAUUAAAGUCAUAUUAUUACAAGAAUGACAUUGGAAUCAUUUCCAUAGGAGGUAAUUUCCAUAGCAACUAAUCAUAGUGACACAAACAGAAUUAUGAAAUCUGGUGAGGAAUAAAUAGCAAAAGAAUGAAUACCUUAAAGGAACAAAAAAAACCUUUUUCUUAAUAAUUAUGCUUCUUAUAAAUAAGAGCUGGACAGUUUUAAAAAUCAGAAUUUCCAAAUAAAACAGUUUCCAUAAGCUGUCAGCAGCAGCACUAAAAAUCUCAAAUAUCAUUGUAAGAAAUGAAAAUAUAAGAAUUAAAUUACUGCCUUGUAUAUAAUCUCUAGAGAUUUUUUAAAGCUCAUAAGAACUCUAUUUGAAUCAGAAUUACGUUAUUACAAAGUAAAAUGAAUACUUCACAAAAAAUAACAUUAAUUUAAAUGGAUCCUUUCAUUAUUUUUAGAUAGCAGAGUCUUUUUUCAUUUAUGUAGAAUGAUGUAACUGCCAGGUUACUUUUGUGUUUGCCCAGGACUCCUAGUAAGAACUGGGACUCAAGGGAGUAAUGAUACAAAAGGUCUCUUGUGACUGGAGACACCAGGACAGACACAGCAUUUGAUGAGAAGGAAAUCCUAUAUGCUUGCCUGAUAAAAUUUAGAGAUAAUGAAAACCUAAAAAGGUCCUACUAAAUAUAUUUUACCUGGUACUGUUUAUUAAAAUGGAAGCUGCCUUGAUUUAGAGACAAUUCAUGGAAGGUAGGUUAAGCAGUCAAAUAUUUCUUUAGGCUUAUGUUCAGUACCUCAGCCACCUACUGAGAAGUUAAUUAAUUCAGUCCAAAUGAAAUUAUAGGGCAGUUCGGUGCAAUUUAUGGUAAAUGCCAUUUGAAUGCAGUCACCUGUGUUACCAUGAACAAGGAACAACCAUACUAGAUAGAGGUAAAAUGCUGCACCAUAAAUGAGAGAAGUGGUUUGGCAGGAAAAAUAUUUGUCCCUGUGGUUAGAAUUUGUCAAAACUCACUGUCUUUUUAAAGAGUGAAUUAUCACACAGUAUUUAAACUUUCGUGACCUUUUAUAUUCUCAUAGUUGUCUUCAGUGUUCUAUUAGAUUUACAUUUCAAGCCCUGAGAUAUAAAUUACUUAAAACAGCAUUAAAGUAAACAUAAUGUAAGUAGAGUUGACUUUUUGCAUUUACAUUUCAAAGACACUCCUCUUUUUAAAUGCUUACACAUUUAUGUGUAACUGCAUUGUUGCUAGUAAUAGUUAUAAUGAAAAUGGUCUAUUCUGUAUCGUGCUUAUUCUUGGUUAAUACUAGGAAUUUUGAAUUCCUAAAAACAAGAAUUUUUUGAAUUUUUAAAAACAAGAUUUCAUUUGAAAAUAUUGUAGAAUGUUAUUUUCUGUGGCAUAUUUGUAUAAUUGGCAUUGUUUAUAAUUUUUACCUUUUUAAUGUGGGUCAGGAUUCUGGAUUAAAAAGUAUUAAUUAUGCACAUAUAUAUAUUUAACUAUUAGAAAUUGAUAAACCAAGGUCAUGUGAUUAAAACUUCUAUACUUUAAAAGAGUGAUUCAUGAAAACAUUUUCUAGAUUUUUUUCCUUUAGGUAUGUCCUCUAGUCUAAACUGAUAGAAGUAAACAGUGCUGUGAAAUCAGGGUAAACAGAGAAAAGACAUACCCAGCAGCUGGUGCUAAGAAAUGUACUCAAAUGAACAAAGUACCUUAAUGUUCAAAUAACAUAACUUUAACUAUUAAAGAAAUAGUAACCAACAUUUUUAUUUAUCUCAAGAUAGGAAAAAUACCAAUCUUGGUGUGUUUGAUAGGCAAAAUCAUCUCCAUCUUGCUAAACUUGUGUUUUAAAUGGCAGCAAUUUGCUUUGAGAGAUGUGGUAAUCUCUUAAUGUUAACUACUAAAGGAGAGAAAUAUUGAAAAGAUAUAUAUACAUAAUUAUGCUUUGUCAUAAACAUGUUUCAAGAUAUCCAAAUAGAUAAUUUUGUUGAAAAUG
Bubalus bubalis (water buffalo) is the source of this 4788-nucleotide RNA transcript. It is a transcript of the gene named rhotekin 2, with no coding region annotated. NCBI's taxonomy places the organism in Eukaryota, Metazoa, Chordata, Mammalia, Artiodactyla, Bovidae. The transcript is spliced from 13 exons. The record is from RefSeq and is a predicted model, not a curated record.